CAUUUUCCAUCUCUUUGCUUUUGGUUGGACCUUUUCGGCUUUUCCUCUUUCUCUAUUCUCUAUCCAUCUCUUUCUUUGUCUCUUUGUCUCUGGGUCCAAGAAUAAUUUGGGCUUAGCUGAAUGGGAACUUAGAGUUAUCUUCAUCCAGGAAAAUAAGGGAUAAAAAUCAGAGCUUUGGCUUAAAAAUUUCCAUGGAAAUUUCUUGACCCAUUUUUCUAGGCCAUAUCUUCUUUCAAUGGAGGUUCCGGGGGAGGAUGAGGUUAAAAAGGCAGAGGAUCGUAUGACAUCAGCCGCGGCUUUUGUUGAAGGAGGUAUACAGGAGGCAUGUGAUGAUUCAUGCAGCAUAUGCCUUGAAGCCUUCUGCGAAAGUGAUCCAUCCACGGUAACUAUUUGCAAGCAUGAGUUUCACCUUCAAUGUAUUCUUGAAUGGUAUGUAAG
This is a long non-coding RNA of Coffea eugenioides, 438 nucleotides long. RefSeq lists it as uncharacterized. The transcript is spliced from 3 exons. NCBI's taxonomy places the organism in Eukaryota, Viridiplantae, Streptophyta, Magnoliopsida, Gentianales, Rubiaceae. The record is from RefSeq and is a predicted model, not a curated record.